Molecule: ribosomal RNA, 517 nt
Filed under: Thalassiosira rotula
Lineage: Eukaryota; Bacillariophyta; Thalassiosirophyceae; Thalassiosirales; Thalassiosiraceae
Description: partial Bacterial large subunit ribosomal RNA
Rfam family: Bacterial large subunit ribosomal RNA
Source: RNAcentral
GAAGGACGUGUGAGGCUGCGUUAAGCCUCGGGGAGUUGCCAAUAAAGCGUUGAUCCGAGGAUGUCCGAAUGGGGAAACCUGGCCGUGGUUAUGUGCGGUUACCCACUGGUGAAUGCAUAGCUGGUGUGGGGGUUACGCGGGGAAGUGAAACAUCUCAGUACCCGUAGGAGAAGAAAACAAUUGUGAUUCUGCUAGUAGUGGCGAGCGAACGUGGAUGAGGCUAAACCAUGUGCAUGUGAUACCUGGCAGGGGUUGUGUGUGUGGUGUUGUGGGGUUCAACUGUUCCUGGUCUGCCAGCUGGGUGCGCAAUGUCAAUGCUGUUAGCGGAAGUGGUUUGGGAUGACCUGCCGUAGAGGGUGAGAGUCCCGUACGUGAAGGUGGUGUUGGUUGUGUUGUUGGUGUCCCCGAGUAGCAGCGGGCUCGUGGAAUCUGCUGUGAAUCUGCCGGGACCACCCGGUAAGCCUAAAUACUCAAGUUGACCGAUAGCGGAUCAAGUACCGUGAGGGAAUGGUGAAAA